GAUGAACGCUGACAGAAUGCUUAACACAUGCAAGUCGAUGGGGAAGUGGUGCUUGCACCAUGGUAACCAUGGCGGACGGGUGAGUAACGCGUAAGGAACUUGCCUGCGGGACCGGGAUAACAGCAGGAAACUGCUGACAAGACCGGAUAAGGUCAUUAAGCCGCAUAGCUUAGUGAUGAAAGGAGACGCCUGCGGAGAGCCUUGCGUCCUAUUAGCUAGUUGGAGGGGUAACGGCCCACCAAGGCGAAGAUAGGUAGCCGGCCUGAGAGGGUGGACGGCCACAAGGGGACUGAGAUACGGCCCUUACUCCUACGGGAGGCAGCAGUGGGGAAUAUUGGACAAUGGGGGCAACCCUGAUCCAGCAAUUCUGUGUGCACGAAGACGGUUUUCGGAUUGUAAAGUGCUUUCAGCAGGGAAGAAGUAAGUGACGGUACCUGCAGAAGAAGCGACGGCUAAAUACGUGCCAGCAGCCGCGGUAAUACGUAUGUCGCGAGCGUCAUCCGGAAUUAUUGGGCAUAAAGGGCAUCUAGGCGGCCUUUCAAGUCAGGGGUGAAAACCUGCGGCUCAACCGCAGGCCUGCCUUUGAAACUGAUAGGCUGGAGUACCGGAGAGGUGGACGGAACUGCACGAGUAGAGGUGAAAUUCGUAGAUAUGUGCAGGAAUGCCGAUGAUGAAGAUAGUUCACUGGACGGUAACUGACGCUGAAGUGCGAAAGCCGGGGGAGCGAACAGG
Molecule: ribosomal RNA, 732 nt
Filed under: uncultured Leptotrichia sp.
Lineage: Bacteria; Fusobacteriati; Fusobacteriota; Fusobacteriia; Fusobacteriales; Leptotrichiaceae
Description: bacterial SSU rRNA
Rfam family: Bacterial small subunit ribosomal RNA
Source: RNAcentral